GGGGCCGGGGGGUGGUUAGUGCGGGCCGGGGGCUCGCAGGCGUCUUUUUCAGCUUGGCUGCUUGUCUAUUCAAGGGUGGGCUUUUUAAUGUCUUCUCUCCGUAAUCUCCUCUCCAGCACUUUUCCUUUUCGGUGGCUCCUUAGGCCUGCCCAGAGCGCACCCUGGAGCCUGGAGCUCCCUGGGAGAGGUGGCGACGACGGGGUGGGGGUUGGGAAGGGAGCGCACUCCGCUGCAGUCGCCCGCCGAUCGCAGCCCCAGGCGCACGGCGCUUGCCUGCUCUGCUGAGGACACGUGCUGGGGAAGAACGGGGGAAGCAUCCCGCCUUCCAAGGAGAGGCUCCCCGAGUGCCCCCGGGCUCUCCAGGACUUCCCUGGGCUCGGAGCGGGAGCUGCGGAAUCCCGCGUCGCACUGCCAGGCCUGCUCGCCGCUCAAACCCGGUUGCCAAAGCCUCGCCCCCAACCCUGCCCGGCGACGAUUUGGCAAUUUCAGGCUGCUGGAGCGCCAUCCCUGGACCGUAAGGCGUGAGUGAGGCUCCCUGUGCUUUCACCCCUGCGCUCCCGCUCGGGGCCGGGAGACUGGCUGAGCACAACCAGGCCGGGUAGCCAGGGAUGGCCUUGGCCGGAGAGGCGGGGAGAAAGGGCAGGCCGCGCGGCUCCGGAAACCGCGGACCUGCCGGGUGGAUCACUGACCCCCCAAGGUCACGGAGUGUGGGGAAACCACCGACUCACGCCAAAGCAGAGGCCACCGCUCCAGUCGGAACCCUCCUGGGGGGUGCGUAGUUCCACAAAGGAGCCCAGAGGAUACCAUAGAAGACUUAGCUCGGAGCCACUACUAGUCCCAACACUGCCCUCCAUCAAAGGGGCGCGUUUUCACUUAGCCUUGGCGCCCACAUUGCGAGCGCUGGGGCAGGGCCUCCUGGAGUCCUCAGCACACGUAUGUCGGGGCGCUAGUGUA
Long non-coding RNA from Manis pentadactyla (Chinese pangolin), 954 nucleotides. RefSeq lists it as uncharacterized. NCBI's taxonomy places the organism in Eukaryota, Metazoa, Chordata, Mammalia, Pholidota, Manidae. The transcript has 2 exons. The record is from RefSeq and is a predicted model, not a curated record.